CACGUAGGGGGCGAGCGUUGUCCGGAUUUAUUGGGCGUAAAGAGCUCGUAGGCGGCUCAGUAAGUCAGGUGUGAAAACUCCAGGCUCAACCUGGAGACGCCACCUGAUACUGCUGUGGCUAGAGUCCGGUAGGGGAGCAUGGAAUUCCUGGUGUAGCGGUGAAAUGCGCAGAUAUCAGGAGGAACACCGGUGGCGGAAGGCAGCACCUCUGG
This 212-nucleotide ribosomal RNA is filed under the name uncultured bacterium. Its description in RNAcentral is "partial 16S ribosomal RNA". It matches the Rfam family "Bacterial small subunit ribosomal RNA", at positions 524 to 732 of the family's 1533-position model. The record is from RNAcentral.